This 30-nucleotide non-coding RNA is filed under the name Rattus norvegicus (Norway rat). The record is from RNAcentral. Lineage: Eukaryota; Metazoa; Chordata; Mammalia; Rodentia; Muridae.
UUCAAUUUGUAGACGGGUGGGGAGUUCCCA